Molecule: long non-coding RNA, 1691 nt
Organism: Dicentrarchus labrax (European seabass)
Lineage: Eukaryota; Metazoa; Chordata; Actinopteri; Moronidae
Exons: 4
Source: RefSeq, a predicted model, not a curated record
GGGCUCAGGUGGGGGCGGCGACUUCUCCCCUGGAUGGGCGCACAUGUACAUAUCUAAAACUUAAUAAUCAAAACAAAGGGAGACUGCUGCUCCUCAAUGGACAGCUGGAACAGAGGAAGCCUACUGUGGCUGUGACUCAGGAGGUAGAGUGGGUCGUUUGCUAAUCAGAAGGUUGCUGGUCGAUCCGCAGCUCCUCCCACUGCAUGUUGAGUUGUCCUUGCACAAGUUACUGAAGCAUACAUUUCUCUUGAUACCGCGCUCUAAGUGUGUGUGACUGUGCGUGCAGUACUUUGAGUACUUUGAACACUAGAGAGGUGGGUAGAGGUGCAGGAUGAAAGCAGCAUAUGGUAAAACGAGAGCUGGUUGGAACAUAACAGGUAUGUGGGAAAAUGAGUUAUUUCUGUGCUGUCAGCCCAUCUUUGUUUCUGCAGGACCAGCAUGUGUUCACUUACUGUGUUGAUUUGCUUCCAGUAUAAGGUUAGUCGUUAGUCAAAAAAAUGAUUCUGGUUCUGUCAGUAAACGCGUCUCUUGCGUCUUUGAUUUUGAUUUGUGAAAUGUGUGAAAUAAUGGAUUUUCACUGGAUCUUUCUUUGUGUGUAAUUAAUCUCACUCCUGUCUGUUUCUCUUAGGAACCAGCAGAAAUGAUACAGUGUGUGAAGUUUGUCAGCCAGGAAGUUUUUCACAGGAUGGUGUGGACUGCACGGCUUGGACUGUCUGUCCAAAAACCCAAGUAAGGGUCAAAGAAGGAAGUAUGAGCAGUGACGUUGUCUCUGGAAGUUCUUCAAGGAAUUAUUAUGCAUAUAUACCUCUAUUAUUAUCGUUUUUAACAGUUGCUGGACUUGUGACCACAGGCAGGCUAACAAUGAAAAAGGACUCUGUCUCCAGUCCUGGAGGUAGAUGACUCAGUUUGUGUUGUGAAAAAUAUUAGAAUUCCUCAGUGGCAACAUGAGCUCAGUGCUACCUGGCAUCUGCAACAAUAAUGGUCACUCUUUUGUUUUUUUAGAUUGAAAACUGAAGAGUGGAAAAUGUUCUCAAUUCCAUCUGAUAGAGUAAUGUUUGAUUAAAAACUACAAUAAGCAGUUACUGAAAUUAUUGAGACUUUUUAAAAAUGAAAGUACUAUUUGUGAGCUAUUUAUAAAGAUUUGUGUCUUCAGUAGGAACCAAUGGGCCUGGCGCUGAGAGCCACAGACAGUAUUUAGAGAUGGACUAAUGUCUAGUUUUGUUUUUCCAUGGGACUUUUUUCCAUGCUGCUUUUAUGUUUUUAUGUAAAGUGUCUUUGAGUAUUUAGAAAAGCGCUUAUAAAUAAAAUGUAUUAUUAUUAUUAUUAAAAAUAACAUAAAUGUUGAUGAAUUAUUUUAAUCCUAAUGGAUCCUAUUUUACCUAUACUUUUGUACUAUUUCUUUAGCAACAUUUUGAAUACAGGAUUUGUACUUGUACUACGUUAACAUUGUUGUAUUGCUACUUUUAUACAGGAAGAUCACUGAUAUUAACCACUGAUAUGAUAUGCUAUGCUUUUACACUGUAGUAAUGUUAUGUGCCUUCAGUGUUUUCUUGUGUAGGAGAGGGUAGGACCUUAUUUUUGUAAUAUUUUUUUUUCGAACCUAUUAUUUUUUAUUAUACUUUGCUUUGUAUUGUGCUUUUAUACUUUCUAAUGUAUUUGCUGUACAAAUAAAGUCACCUUGCUUUGACUAA